CGAACGCUGGCGGCGUGCUUAACACAUGCAAGUCGACCGGAAAGGCCCUGCUUUUGUGGGGUGCUCGAGUGGCGAACGGGUGAGUAACACGUGAGUAACCUGCCCUUGACUUUGGGAUAACUUCAGGAAACUGGGGCUAAUACCGGAUAGGAGCUCCUGCUGCAUGGUGGGGGUUGGAAAGUUUCGGCGGUUGGGGAUGGACUCGCGGCUUAUCAGCUUGUUGGUGGGGUAGUGGCUUACCAAGGCUUUGACGGGUAGCCGGCCUGAGAGGGUGGCCGGCCACAUUGGGACUGAGAUACGGCCCAGACUCCUACGGGAGGCAGCAGUGGGGAAUAUUGCACAAUGGGCGGAAGCCUGAUGCAGCAACGCCGCGUGCGGGAUGACGGCCUUCGGGUUGUAAACCGCUUUCGCCUGUGACGAAGCGUGAGUGACGGUAAUGGGUAAAGAAGCACCGGCUAACUACGUG
RNAcentral lists this ribosomal RNA (466 nucleotides) under uncultured bacterium. RNAcentral's name for it is "partial 16S ribosomal RNA". It matches the Rfam family "Bacterial small subunit ribosomal RNA", at positions 30 to 507 of the family's 1533-position model. The record is from RNAcentral.